AAGGAGUCUCACUCUGUUUCCCAGGCUGGAAUGCAAUGGCACGGUCUCGGCUCACUGCAACUUCUGCCUCCCAGGUUCAAGAAAUUCUCCUGCCUCAGCCUCCCAGAGAGAAGCAGCUAUUCAGUAUUUGGCAGUCUCCUGACAAGUAGCACCACUGCCACAAAUCAGAGCCUGAGGAAAUAACAGCAAAUGAGAGGGAAGCUGCCUUGAGAUAGAAACUCUCAUCUGAAUCAACAGAGCUAGCCUCCUCCAUCUAUCAGGACUCCCAGCUUCUCCAGAUAAGUCACCAUCUUCAGAAGUUCUGAUGACCAACGUGGGAUGUGGUUAUUAGAAGCAUGUACUGUAAACACUGGACUCCUGAGGUUAGAUCUACUGCACUGGAGCUGUUGUCUUGGGGUUAAUUAGGAGUCAAGUUCAUUUUGGAAAAAAUAAUGUCACCAGUUUCUCAAAGGUGGCCUCAGUUGAGGAGCCUGGGGAGUUGAAGUCAUGAGCAUAAUUAGCCCAUGUAUGCUUUGAAAGUUGAGUCCAUUUGAAAGUUGUGAUGGAUUCUGAAGGAGAGCCCACCACAAUUAAGACUGUAAUGCAACAGACCAAGUGGAAAAUUUUUACUGAAUUUUAAUCAGAAGACUGAUGUAUUUGUCCAAUGACACUCAACUUCAGUGUUUCUAAGAAUCAAAAGAGGGUUGAAUGAUGUUUUCCAGGGCGCUGCCCCUAGAAACUCUAAUUAAGAACAUUGAGAUGUUUUGCAAAAACCUAAAAUUUUAGUAAGUAUACUAAAUCUAGUUGAGCUCUGUCAUCAAACAGUGUGUUAUCUUAUUAAUGCAUUUUACCAGAAUGACAAAAUAAUAUAGAGUUGUGAAUUUUGUUCAAGCUAAUCUAUAAAGCCAAUAUAAUUCCAACCCAAAUCCAUGCAUAAAUUUUGAAGUCACCCUGACAAUCAGAUUUCCAAAAUUUUCAUGAAAUUAUAAAACAAUUUUGUAAAGGGCAAGUAAUAUAGGCCCUCACUCUUCCUAGUAAAAAAAAACUAUGCUUUAGUAAUAAAAAAGAGCAUGCUAUUGGUGCAAGAAGAAAUAAGUAGUAUAGAGACAGAAAGGAGAGCUCAGAAAUUAAUGUAUGUGUAUUUGAGAACUUGGUCUUUGGCAGAAGUGACCUCACAAGUCAGUGAGAGAAUUAUAAUUAUGUACUAAAUAAUACUGGGAAGCCUCUGUGUAUUCCACCGCUCAGAAGGAGGUGACCUGGUGGAAUAUGAAACGGUUUACUUGAGGCUCAGUUACUGCACUGGCUCUGUGCCAAUACCUAGUACAGCCCCAUGUGUCUGCCCAAAGCAGAAUAUACUCUGAACCAGCAGCCAAAGGAUUGUGUUCAUUCUCUACUAACAAGAAUGUAUAAGUCUGAGAACCGACGUUUAAGGGGAGAUGAAAUGAAUCCUUCUGUUAUUACUCCUAAUGACUUAUAUGCAUAAGUUUGAGCUUUGUGGAUUAGAAGUGUUAUUUCACAAAGGAGUGUUACUUCCACCAGAAAACACAAAAAUGGUGAUUGAGAUGGCCCCUUGGCCACUUCAGUCUACUUUGUCCUUCUGUACCAGUAAUCUACAGACAGAAAUGAAUCCUGUUUUUUAACGAAAAAUAGGGUGUUGCCGCUACACUACCAAGGCAGAAAAUAGUAUGUCUAGAAUCUAGAUGUUCUAGGGCAUUUUUUAUUACUUCAUAUAUAAAGGCAAAAUUUAAUAGAAGACUAAAACAACCUAAUUUAGGCAGUCACUAAUAGUUCAAGCCCUUCAGAAAUGUUGGGGUAUUAGGUGAGUUCAAAAGAAUAUAAACAGGUGACAUUUUAAAAAGUCAUAAGCAUCAGUGAUAGUCAUGUUUACUUACAGAAACAAGGAUUGCAGUAGCUGUUUUAUUUUACUGCUUGCUUUAUUAUGUAUAUAUGUGUAUGUUGAUCAUUUUCCCAUCUUGUCUUAACCUACCAGUAUAUAUAAGGUGUGUUGAUGUUACAAAACAUUAUAAUUCCAUCUACAAAGAAAAGGCUAUCAAAUAAUUUAUUGUUUCAUUUUUAGAGAUAAAUGUGGGUACCUCUUUAUGUGAGAUGUAUUUUCGUUAUAUUCGUUAUUACUGUUUGGAAAUUUAAACAUCAACAGAAGGAUGUGUAUGGAUGGUGAAUAUCUAAAAGGGAAACCUGUGCUGACUAUAUUUUACUGAUAUUUAGUAUCAUACUUACACUUCUAAGUUCUCUGUACCACAAUGUAGGAAUAAAAAUUCUGGAAAUCCUGA
This 2270-nucleotide long non-coding RNA is filed under the name Homo sapiens (human). RNAcentral describes it as "HSALNT0296073". Lineage: Eukaryota; Metazoa; Chordata; Mammalia; Primates; Hominidae. The record is from RNAcentral.